GACGAACGCUGGCGGCGUGCUUAACACAUGCAAGUCGAGCGGUAAGGCCCUUUCGGGGGUACACGAGCGGCGAACGGGUGAGUAACACGUGGGUGACCUGCCCUCAGCUCUGGGAUAAGCCUGGGAAACUGGGGUCUAAUACUGGAUAUGACUCCACGGUGCAUGUCGUGGGGUGGAAAGCCUUGUGCGGCUGAGGAUGGGCCCGCGGCCCAUCAGCUUGUUGGNGGGGUGANGGCCUACCAAGGCGACGACGGGUAGCCGGCCUGAGAGGGCGACCGGCCACACUGGGACUGAGACACGGCCCAGACUCCUACGGGAGGCAGCAGUGGGGAAUCUUGCGCAAUGGGCGAAAGCCUGACGCAGCGACGCCGCGUGAGGGAUGACGGCCU
This 389-nucleotide ribosomal RNA is filed under the name uncultured bacterium. Its description in RNAcentral is "bacterial SSU rRNA". It matches the Rfam family "Bacterial small subunit ribosomal RNA", at positions 28 to 417 of the family's 1533-position model. The record is from RNAcentral.